RNAcentral lists this non-coding RNA (21 nucleotides) under Caenorhabditis elegans. Lineage: Eukaryota; Metazoa; Nematoda; Chromadorea; Rhabditida; Rhabditidae. The record is from RNAcentral.
UACAAAUUUGGUAAACGUUUG